UAUAUUUACCCCAUUUCCAAGUUAACCCUUGUACUGCUAACAAUGGGGCGAGAUACGAUUUUUUUCGAAAACGAGUAGUACUUUGCUCAGUAUAAAAUGUAUGUCAAGAUAAGAUUAUAGCUGUUAUGGACUGAAACCAAUAGAUACAUCGAUGGACGUCAAAACGCCAGACUCGUCACUAUGUAGAUUUUGCUACGGAAAUUAACCCGUGUCCAAACACAUUUGUGUCCAAACACUUUUGAUAGAACGGAGAAUAUCAAAAUCUUUCAUAUUUCCUGAAAAAUAAUACAGCAAAACCUCUCCAAAAAUCAUCUCUUGACUACAUAAGAUAUAUAUAAAAAAAACAACACUGAGGAGGUUCAAACUUGUGAUAGGCACACGGAUUUACUGUCAGAUUUAUAAUAAGGUGAUGUGGUAUGAUUGUCCAUGAGACAACUAUCCGCCAAAGUUCAAAUGAAGUGGAUGUGAACAUUUAUAGGCAACUGUACAGCCUUCAACUAUGAGAAAAACCCAACCGUAUAGUCGGCUAUAAACGCCCCGACAUGAACAAUUUGAAGCAAUUCAAAUGACAAACUUACAGCCUAAGUUAUAACAAAUUAAUUUUCGGUCGAUAUCACAUACUUCAAUGUAAAUGCAGACAAAAAAUGGUAUGUAAGCAAUCGGCAUAACAAGAAUUCGAUCCAAACAACACAAGGCGCGCCAAAAAUCGUAGGCAUUUCCUCCCAUGCAUUCAUAUCCGUUACAUCAUUCAACUACAUAUGUUAAGUUCUAAUAACAUUUAAAUUGCAAGUAUGGAAAACA
This 801-nucleotide long non-coding RNA is filed under the name Mytilus galloprovincialis (Mediterranean mussel). The record is from RNAcentral. Lineage: Eukaryota; Metazoa; Mollusca; Bivalvia; Mytilida; Mytilidae.